GCCAUGUGAUGAUAUCAAGGCUGUGGUGAUUCAGUUGGUUUGGCUAAGCCCGGGGACCUUUGACCUAUUAAGGUCUGUAAUCUUGGUGGGCAAUACAGAGUUGUGUGUGUUCGCUGUAAGGGCAGACCAACAAGAAAUAUUUCCUACUUUUGAACUACCUCUCUUUAAAAGAGGUGGUUCCUCCAGUUGCCAGAGAGAAACUGGGGUAACUGGAGUGAGAGAGUGGGGACAGGGCAUGUUCAGGGUAUCAAGGUCAGGGCUCCCAAAGGACUUGGCUUGUGUUGUGACCACUGAGAGAUGAAACACAGAUCUUUGGUAAUCUGAUGGCU
Small nucleolar RNA from Ailuropoda melanoleuca (giant panda), 329 nucleotides. NCBI's taxonomy places the organism in Eukaryota, Metazoa, Chordata, Mammalia, Carnivora, Ursidae. The record is from Ensembl.